Molecule: ribosomal RNA, 500 nt
Filed under: uncultured bacterium
Lineage: Bacteria
Description: partial 16S ribosomal RNA
Rfam family: Bacterial small subunit ribosomal RNA
Source: RNAcentral
AUUGAACGCUGGCGGCAUGCCUUACACAUGCAAGUCGAACGGAUCAGAGGAGCUUGCUCUUCUGGUUAGUGGCGAACGGGUGAGUAAUGCAUCGGAACGUACCCAGUAGUGGGGGAUAACGUAGCGAAAGUUACGCUAAUACCGCAUACGACCUGAGGGUGAAAGCAGGGGAUCGCAAGACCUUGCGCUAUUGGAGCGGCCGAUGUCGGAUUAGCUAGUUGGUAGGGUAAAAGCCUACCAAGGCGACGAUCCGUAGCUGGUCUGAGAGGACGACCAGCCACACUGGUACUGAGACACGGCCCAGACUCCUACGGGAGGAAGCAGUGGGGAAUUUUGGACAAGGGGGGAAACCCUGAUCCAGCCAUGCCGCGUGAGUGAAGAAGGCCUUCGGGUUGUAAAGCUCUUUCAGACGGAAAGAAAUCUUUCGGGCUAAUACCUCGGGAGGAUGACGGUACCGUAAGAAGAAGCACCGGCUAGCUACGUGCCAGCAGCCGCCGUAA